Molecule: ribosomal RNA, 497 nt
Filed under: uncultured bacterium
Lineage: Bacteria
Description: partial 16S ribosomal RNA
Rfam family: Bacterial small subunit ribosomal RNA
Source: RNAcentral
GAUGAACGCUGGCGGCGUGCCUAAUACAUGCAAGUCGAGCGAACAGACGAGGAGCUUGCUCCUCUGACGUUAGCGGCGGACGGGUGAGUAACACGUGGAUAACCUACCUAUAAGACUGGGAUAACUUCGGGAAACCGGAGCUAAUACCGGAUAACAUGUUGAACCGCAUGGUUCAACAGUGAAAGACGGUCUUGCUGUCACUUAUAGAUGGAUCCGCGCCGCAUUAGCUAGUUGGUAAGGUAACGGCUUACCAAGGCAACGAUGCGUAGCCGACCUGAGAGGGUGAUCGGCCACACUGGAACUUAGACACGGUCCAGACUCCUACGGGAGGCAGCAGUAGGGAAUCUUCCGCAAUGGGCGAAAGCCUGACGGAGCAACGCCGCGUGAAUGAAGAAGGUCUUCGGAUCGUAAAACUCUGUUAUUAGGGAAGAACAAAUGUGUAAGUAACUAUGCACGUCUUGACGGUACCUAAUCAGAAAGCCACGGCUAACUACGUG